UCAAUUAUUAAUUUAAUAGUAUAAAAUAUUGUGCAGAUGAUACUGUGACAAUAAUUGAAUCAAUAAUAUGCAACAACUAUUGUGACAAUAAUUGAAUGAAACUGAGUGAUUUCUUACAUAAGCAUCAAUAAUCAUAGAUACUGUACAAUACCGUGUGCUACUGUAAAACCACGCAUAUUACUGUACUUUUAUCACCGGAUAUUUCAA
Molecule: long non-coding RNA, 207 nt
Filed under: Panax ginseng (ginseng)
Lineage: Eukaryota; Viridiplantae; Streptophyta; Magnoliopsida; Apiales; Araliaceae
Description: long non-coding RNA (PGIN_LNC008145)
Source: RNAcentral